RNAcentral lists this long non-coding RNA (454 nucleotides) under Oryctolagus cuniculus (rabbit). Its description in RNAcentral is "lncRNA (ENSOCUG00000030847.1)". The record is from RNAcentral. Lineage: Eukaryota; Metazoa; Chordata; Mammalia; Lagomorpha; Leporidae.
CAAAGGAGCCAAGAUUAGGUAUCAUGAUAAUGAGAGUGUCCCUUUCAAUGGUAACUUGUGGUGAUGAGUAAUGCAUACCAAAAAGCUAGUGUGAGAGGCAUUCCUUUUGGUAAGUAAAAAAGUCCCAUACAUGAUGUAAUCAGUCAUAAUUUCCCAUUUUCAGUGCACACUUUGCUUUCUACUUGUAGCGAAAAACUAAAACCAUGUGAUAUUAAGUGUCUGUGCCCUAUGAAGUCCAUGAAGCAGGAAUCCUGUCUCUUCAUCAUUAUACAACUCCACCUAGAGUAAUACCUGCCACAGAGGAGUCUCCACAAUGAACAGAUUGGAAGAUGCUGCGGCAACAUUUUGUUAAGUACCAGAAUCCCAGAGAAAUCACCGGAAGCAAGUUAUCAGAGGAACAGAUGGUCGGUGUCCCUCCAGGUCUGAAGCAAUGAAGUUUCUGUUGCUGCACAUC